This 201-nucleotide long non-coding RNA is filed under the name Homo sapiens (human). Its description in RNAcentral is "HSALNT0150750". The record is from RNAcentral. Lineage: Eukaryota; Metazoa; Chordata; Mammalia; Primates; Hominidae.
CUCCCGUUGCCCUAGCAACGGGCCACGGGGCACAGUGUAUGUGAAAUGCAUGAACAUCUGUGAAUUAAUCUUUUUUAGUUUGUUCUUUUCUUGGCACUGAUUGGACCACUCGGGCUUGUGCCUGUGACACUGCGUGCAGAGGGGUAAUCUGGAGCAGUCCCCAGGGCCUUGCCCUAAAGUGGAUAGUGGAAUGGAAAGUGA